GUUUGAUCAUGGCUCAGAUUGAACGCUGGCGGGAUGCUUUACACAUGCAAGUCGAACGGCAGCACGGACUUCGGUCUGGUGGCGAGUGGCGAACGGGUGAUAAUGUAUCGGAACGUGCCUAGUAGCGGGGGAUAACUACGCGAAGGCGUAGCUAAUACCGCAUACGCCCUUCGGGGGAAAGCGGGGACCUUCGGGCCUCGCACUAUUAGAGCGGCGGUAUAUCGGUUAGCUGGUUGGUGGGGUAACGGCUCACCAAGGCGACGAUCCGUAGCAGCUGGUUUGAAGGACGACCAGCCACACUGGGACUGAGACACGGCCCAGACUCCUACGGAGGCAGCAGUGAAAUUUUGGACAAUGGGAAACCACAGUCCAGCCAUCCCGCGUGUGCGAUGAAGGCCUUCGGGUUGUAAAGCACUUUUUGGCAGGAAAGAAGCAGCGCAGGAUAAUACCCCGUGCAACUGACGUUACCUGCCAGAAUAAGCGCAAGCUAACUACGUGCCAGCAGCCGCGGUAAUACGUAGGGUGCAAGCGUUAAUCGGAAUUACUGGGCGUAAAGCGUGCGCAGGCGGUUCGGAAAGAAAGAUGUGAAAUCCCAGGAAAACAACUUUUGGGUUUAUUUUAUUUACCGAGCUAGGAAGUGCAAUGCGGAGGAGGUAGAAUUCCGCGUGAAAGUAGAAGUGCGCCAGGAUAUGCGGAACACCGAUGGCAAAGGCGCCUCCUGCAGGGAUGGCACUGGUAGCGCAUCAUGCGCACACGGCAACGUGUGGCAGGAGCAAAUGAGGCUAGGAAUACCCUGGCAAGUCCAUUUAACGAUGUCAACUAGCUGUUGGGGCACUUCGGGCCUUGGUAGCGCAGCUAACGCGUGAAGUUGACCGCCUGGGAAAUACGGUCGCAAGAUUAAAACUCAAAGGAAUUGGCGGGGACCCGCACAAGCGGUGGAUGAUGUGGAUUAAUUCGAUGCAACGCGAAAAACCUUACCUACCCUUGACAUGUCUGGAAUCCCGAAGAGAUUUGGGAGUGCUCGCAAGGGGAACCGGAACACAGGUGCUGCAUGGCUGUCGUCAGCUCGUGUCGUGAGAUGUUGGGUUAAGUCCGCAACGAGCACCAGCCCUUGUCAUUAGUUGCUACCCGAAGGGCACUCUAAUGGGCUGCCGGUGAAUAAGCCGGAGGAAGGUGGGGAUGACGUCAAGUCACUAUGUGGCCCUUAUGGGUAGGGCUUCACACGUCAUACAAUGGUCGGGACAGAGGUCGCCAACCCCGCGAGGGAGCCAAUCCCAGAAACCCGUCAUCAGUCCGGAUCGCAGUCUGCAACUCGACCGCGUGAAGUCGGAAUCGCUGGCGUAAUCGCGGAUCAGCAUGUCGCGGUGAAUACGUUCCCGGGUCUUGUACACACCGCCCGUCACACCAUGGGAGUGGGUUUUACCAGAAGUAGUUAGCCUAACCGUAAGGAGGGCGAUUACCACGGUAGGAUUCAUGACUGGGGUGAAGUCGUAACAAGGUAG
RNAcentral lists this ribosomal RNA (1502 nucleotides) under uncultured Bordetella sp. RNAcentral's name for it is "partial 16S-23S ribosomal RNA intergenic spacer". It matches the Rfam family "Bacterial small subunit ribosomal RNA". Lineage: Bacteria; Pseudomonadati; Pseudomonadota; Betaproteobacteria; Burkholderiales; Alcaligenaceae. The record is from RNAcentral.